RNAcentral lists this ribosomal RNA (488 nucleotides) under uncultured Propionibacterium sp. Its description in RNAcentral is "partial 16S ribosomal RNA". Lineage: Bacteria; Bacillati; Actinomycetota; Actinomycetes; Propionibacteriales; Propionibacteriaceae. The record is from RNAcentral.
CACGUAGUUAGCCGGUGCUUCUUUACCCAUUACCGUCACUCACGCUUCGUCGCAGGCGAAAGCGGUUUACAACCCGAAGGCCGUCAUCCCGCACGCGGCGUUGCUGCAUCAGGCUUCCGCCCAUUGUGCAAUAUUCCCCACUGCUGCCUCCCGUAGGAGUCUGGGCCGUAUCUCAGUCCCAAUGUGGCCGGUCACCCUCUCAGGCCGGCUACCCGUCAAAGCCUUGGUAAGCCACUACCCCACCAACAAGCUGAUAAGCCGCGAGUCCAUCCCCAACCGCCGAAACUUUCCAACCCCCACCAUGCAGCAGGAGCUCCUAUCCGGUAUUAGCCCCAGUUUCCUGAAGUUAUCCCAAAGUCAAGGGCAGGUUACUCACGUGUUACUCACCCGUUCGCCACUCGAGCACCCCACAAAAGCAGGGCCUUUCCGUUCGACUUGCAUGUGUUAAGCACGCCGCCAGCGUUCGUCCUGAGCCAGGAUCAAACUCU